GACUCCGUAGCUCAGCUGGUAGAGCAAAUGACUCUUAAUCAUUGGGUCGAGGGUUCGAGCCCCUCCGGGGUCAC
RNAcentral lists this transfer RNA (74 nucleotides) under Bacteroidia bacterium. Its description in RNAcentral is "tRNA-Lys". It matches the Rfam family "tRNA". Rfam says of the family: Transfer RNA (tRNA) molecules are approximately 80 nucleotides in length. Their secondary structure includes four short double-helical elements and three loops (D, anti-codon, and T loops). The record is from RNAcentral. Lineage: Bacteria; Pseudomonadati; Bacteroidota; Bacteroidia.